GACGAACGCUGGCGGCGUGCUUAACACAUACAAGUCGAACGGAAAGGCCCUGCUUUUGUGGGGUGCUCGAGUGGCGAACGGGUGAGUAACACGUGAGUAACCUGCCCUUGACUUUGGGAUAACUUCAGGAAACUGGGGCUAAUACCGGAUAGGAGCUCCUGCUGCAUGGUGGGGGUUGGAAAGUUUCGGCGGUUGGGGAUGGACUCGCGGCUUAUCAGCUUGUUGGUGGGGUAGUGGCUUACCAAGGCUUUGACGGGUAGCCGGCCUGAGAGGGUGACCGGCCACAUUGGGACUGAGAUACGGCCCAGACUCCUACGGGAGGCAGCAGUGGGGAAUAUUGCACAAUGGGCGGAAGCCUGAUGCAGCAACGCCGCGUGCGGGAUGACGGCCUUCGGGUUGUAAACCGCUUUCGCCUGUGACGAAGUGUGAGUGACGGUAAUGGGUAAAGAAGCACCGGCUAACUACGUG
RNAcentral lists this ribosomal RNA (468 nucleotides) under uncultured bacterium. RNAcentral describes it as "partial 16S ribosomal RNA". It matches the Rfam family "Bacterial small subunit ribosomal RNA", at positions 28 to 507 of the family's 1533-position model. The record is from RNAcentral.